Molecule: long non-coding RNA, 590 nt
Filed under: Homo sapiens (human)
Lineage: Eukaryota; Metazoa; Chordata; Mammalia; Primates; Hominidae
Description: non-protein coding lnc-PRKD1-3:3
Source: RNAcentral
AACACUGGCUUUCAGCCUUUAUUUUCAUUAUGUCUCUAUAUUUCUUUACUCUCACAUGAGAAGUCUUUAUUUCAGUGCUCUUCCAUUUUACUGAUAUAAUUCUAAUUUCACUGUUAUAAAUGGUAUGUGGGCUGAAGAUAGGGCUUCUGUAUUUUCUGACUCCCUUCUCUGUGAUUUGUUUUGUGACUUGUCCUUUGGAGGGUGAAGAAGUGAGACCCUACAUGGCUUUUUAGUGCAUUGAUGGAGCAGAGACACGUCUAUGAACAACUGCCUAUGCAAACUGAUUACUCGGCAGUAUAAUUUAUCAGUUUGUAUGAGUAAGUGAGUGCUUCUCACUAUGGAUUUAGCUUGCACUUCAAUUUAGUUCCAUUAUCUUGCUUUGGAUUUAUGGAAAUUCUGAACAGUGAUGUGAGAGUGACUACAGUUUGAAGUAUCUGUUAAAUACAGCAACAUGACAUCACAAGGAUUGUUUUGGAGUCUUCUGGAUAUGAGAACAUUAUAAAAGGUGUGGGGGUUUCCAGGAGACUUGAGAAUGACUCCAGGACUCAUAGUUCUCCUGGAACAUGGUUUUCCACUGUAGCCUUAGAAGA